CCUACGGGGGGCAGCAGUGGGGAAUAUUGCGCAAUGGGCGAAAGCCUGACGCAGCGACGCCGCGUGAGGGAUGAAGGUCUUCGGAUCGUAAACCUCUGUCAGCAGGGAAGAACGGUCACUGUGCUAAUCAGCAGUGAAUUGACGGUACCUGCAAAGGAAGCACCGGCUAACUCCGUGCCAGCAGCCGCGGUAAUACGGAGGGUGCGAGCGUUAAUCGGAAUUACUGGGCGUAAAGCGCUCGAAGGCGGUAUGUCAAGUCAAGGGUGAAAGCCCCGCGCUCAACGGGGGAACUGCCUUUGAAACUGGAGAACGGGAGUGUGGGAGAGGGUAGUGGAAUUCCAGGUGUAGGAGUGAAAUCCGUAGAUAUCUGGAGGAACACCAGUGGCGAAGGCGACUAUCUGGCACAUAACUGACGCUGAGGAACGAAAGCGUGGGUAGCAAACAGGAUUAGAUACCCGGGUAGUC
Molecule: ribosomal RNA, 465 nt
Filed under: uncultured bacterium
Lineage: Bacteria
Description: partial 16S ribosomal RNA
Rfam family: Bacterial small subunit ribosomal RNA
Source: RNAcentral